Molecule: long non-coding RNA, 1651 nt
Organism: Populus nigra (black poplar)
Lineage: Eukaryota; Viridiplantae; Streptophyta; Magnoliopsida; Malpighiales; Salicaceae
Exons: 2
Source: RefSeq, a predicted model, not a curated record
UUCUAACACAAAGAUGCAAAUCUAAGGAUGGGUCGCGGGUGAGGUAAUGGAGGAGAACGAGAGAUAAGGGUGGAGAGCGAAAGGAGUGUGAAGAUAAUUUUAUAUUUAUACCCUUGUCGAACCAAAAGCGUGCAAACAAUGGCAGCAACAUUAGCUGGAGCGCUGCUCUGCAACAACCAAAACACAGUCUCCUUCGCCUAAGAUAGAAACGAUAAUACGGAAAGUGGUUCAGAUUAUUCCGUGGGUUGUUGAAGGAGUUUACAUUUUGUGGCUCUUUCUACUUCCUUACCCCCCUGUAAGUAAACUCCUCCCCCUCUUCGUCUCCUUUUUUAAAACAAUGUCCCAUGUCAUAAAAAAAAUGCAAUUUGUGAAAUCAUAUACUCCAGUGUGUUUGAUUAAUACAGGGAGAUUUUGUGUGGGCUGUCAGUUCAGAGACUGUAAAUUCUCUCAUUGGACUUUCUCUCAAUUUCUUCUUCAUCUUGCCUUUCAUCGAUUCUGAUAUGGCCUUUUCGAACUCACAUCUGAUCGCUAGUUAGUACUUGUUGAGUAUAUUUUAAGCUUGAUGGGUUCGGAAAUGGACUUUCUGGCUAGUAGUCGGCAUAAGUUAUGUUGACGCCCCAGUUCUUCACCCGGUAAGAAUGGUUGGCACUCGGUUCUGUACCCUUUUUACAGUCUAACGUUGGCGUCGGUGAUUUUUCUUUCUUUUACCCGAUGUCUGAAGGAUUAUUCAACUCUGCUCUUGGGUGGAUUUUCAUGCUCGCUCCUUCGCUGUUCACCGAUUGCAAGAGGGAUAGGUACUGAUGUUCAUUGGAUGUUUUAUGGGGCUUCCAAAUGUUCCUUACAAACAGUAUCCUUCAUUCCUUGCACAAUCUUGUUCCUUUUUCCAUUCCCUUUAAAACACCACUCCAAGAUUACAAGAUCUUCUAGGAUGAUCACUUGAUUCGGCUGGAUGGCUUUUAAUAGCUAUUGGCGGGGCUGCAUGCCUGAUAUCAGUACUGUGGGCUCUUUACGGUCGAAUGGAUGGUAAUUUUGGGAGCAUAACAGACAGAUGGGGUUUUUUGGUCUGUUAUUUAGAAUCAGAGAGGUGGUUUAUUCUUUCAUUUGGGAUAUGUAUCUCAACAUAAUUUUCCAGCGGUGGCUGGGGUAGGUGAAUAUUUGCAAAAUGCUCAGAAAAGCAAGGUUGAUGUGGUGAGAUAUCUUAUAGAGUUGUUCCAGUGGUGGGCUUGGUUGCCUAUCUUCUCUGUUUGAAUCUUGAUGAGGACCUGUGGCCAAAUGUAGUUCUUUGCUAGAUUUGAGCUGGAGUCAACUUUACAGGUUUCAAACUACUUUAAAUGCGUGCAUUUUUUUUUCACCAUCUGAAAUUUUAGGGAACUUUGUAUCUCUAUUUGGCGUACAGUAAAUGUACUAGUGAAUUCGUGUGAUUAUUACAACGAAGCUCAAUAGUGAGUUGGGGAUGCUUUGCCUGUAUAUUGCUCCUUCUGUUGUUGAAAUGGUCAAAUCCAGAAACAAUAUAUGAAAGAACUUUUUAUAUUGUACGAGAGGAAGCUAUGUAUGAUCACCCCUUUCGUUUUCUUUUCAUUUUUUGUUCAAUGAUGAGUGUUAUGUUUUCAAGUUAUAUGAGCAGAAGUCAUAUGUGAUCGCUCGUCUGUUA